Non-coding RNA from Odocoileus virginianus texanus, 478 nucleotides. The record is from RefSeq and is a predicted model, not a curated record. NCBI's taxonomy places the organism in Eukaryota, Metazoa, Chordata, Mammalia, Artiodactyla, Cervidae.
CCUAAAAAUACAUGAAAAAAAUCAAAGUUCAAGAGGAAGGUCAAAUUAUUAUCCUGAGGAUGUAGCAGCCAAAAGAGACCUGGAUAAAAUUAGAUUGAGGGGUACCCAUUAUUUUUCCUUGAAAUAAACCUCCGAAAUUCAAGCAAACUUACUGUUUUUGGCUGCCUGGGCACUGUUCCUGAGAUCUGUUAAGACCUUCUGACGGCACUUACUUUGAAGACAAGGGACUUGCUGAAAGCUUUCAGUAACUUUGGAGUUCUUAGGACAUGAGCCAAAUUACCUGAUUACCCAAAUUACCUGAUUCCUUAUUGUCUGGCCAAUAAAAGACAGCCUCCUCAGACUGCUGAUCACAUCCUCUUCAAACGGCACUUCCCACCAAGUCUCCAUAGGGCCCUACAUUUUAGCUCCACCUUGGUUAUAAGAGGGAAUUCCUACACAAAUAUUGCAUUUUCCACUUCUGCAUGUGCUACUCAUUCUC